Molecule: ribosomal RNA, 468 nt
Filed under: uncultured bacterium
Lineage: Bacteria
Description: partial 16S ribosomal RNA
Rfam family: Bacterial small subunit ribosomal RNA
Source: RNAcentral
GAUGAACGCUGGCGGCGUGCUUAACACAUGCAAGUCGAACGGAAAGGCCGAAGCUUGCUUCGGUACUCGAGUGGCGAACGGGUGAGUAACACGUGGGUGAUCUGCCCUGUACUUCGGGAUAAGCUUGGGAAACUGGGUCUAAUACCGGAUAUGUCGCUCUCUUGGAUGGGGUUGUGGAGAGCUUUUGCGGUGUGGGAUGAGCUCGCGGCGUAUCAGCUUGUUGGUGGGGUGAUGGUCUACCACGGCGUCGACGGGUAGCCGGCCUGAGAGGGGGUAAGGCGACAUUGGGAGUGAGAGACGGGCCAGACUCCUACGGGGGGCAGUAGUGGGGGAUAUUGCACAAUGGGGGCAAGCCUGAUGCAGAGACGCCGCGUGGGGGAGGAGGGCGUCCGGGUUGUAAACUCCUUUUGCAAUCGACAAAGCCUGUUGGUGACGGUAGGUGGAGAAGAAGCACCGGCUAACUACGUG